UACACACCGCCCGUCACACCCCGAAAGCCAGCUGUACCAGAAGUCGCCGCGCCAACCGCAAGGAGGCAGGCGCCCACGGUGUGGUUGGUGAUUGGGGUG
This 99-nucleotide ribosomal RNA is filed under the name uncultured bacterium. Its description in RNAcentral is "partial 16S ribosomal RNA". It matches the Rfam family "Bacterial small subunit ribosomal RNA", at positions 1384 to 1482 of the family's 1533-position model. The record is from RNAcentral.